This 490-nucleotide ribosomal RNA is filed under the name uncultured bacterium. RNAcentral's name for it is "partial 16S ribosomal RNA". It matches the Rfam family "Bacterial small subunit ribosomal RNA", at positions 30 to 507 of the family's 1533-position model. The record is from RNAcentral.
AUUGAACGCUGGCGGCAGGCCUAACACAUGCAAGUCGAACGGUAACAGGGAUCCGCUUGCUGAUUCGCUGACGAGUGGCGGACGGUUGAGUAAUGUCUGGGAAACUGCCUGAUGGAGGGGGAUAACUACUGUAAACGGUAGCUAAUACUGCAUAACGUCGCAAGACCAAAGAGGGGGACCUUCUUGCCUCUUGCCAUCUGAUGUGCCCAGAUGGGAUUAGCUAGUAGGUGGGGUAACGGCUCACCUAGGCGACGAUCCCUAGCUGGUCUGAGAGGAUGACCAGCCACACUGGAACUGAGACACGGUCCAGACUCCUACGGGAGGCAGCAGUGGGGAAUAUUGCACAAUGGGCGCAAGCCUGAUGCAGCCAUGCCGCGUGUAUGAAGAAGGCCUUCGGGUUGUAAAGUACUUUCAGCGGGGAGGAAGGGAGUAAAGUUAAUACCUGUGCUCAUUGACGUUACCCGCAGAAGAAGCACCGGCUAACUCCGUG